UCUCACUGGCCUGAGGAGGCACUGCGGCCAGAGAACCAGUAGAACCCAGUUUAGCUGCAUUUCUAAAUUUCCAAUGCUCAACCAGAACCUGCGCCAUGUGUUAGAGCAGGAAACUGAUCUGAGAUCAGAGAGAAAUGAUCAACAUCACUGAUCAAGACGACAGUUUACUGUUACGUUCUCCUCAGCUACGUACUGCUACCUCUGUCACAUAAUGUGAGAAAAUGCAGCUGACUUCAGGAUCAGAGACCCACGCUGAUCACUGAUCAGUAUUCAUCAGCUCCAUUAGGAGCUGCGGACUGACAAUUGAGCUGCUGAGGUGGCUGCAGGAGGGUGGAGCCUCAGGCCGGUCAGCUUUCUCUUUCAACCUCAGACGCAGUGUCUCACUGUGCCAUGAAUGGACACGCCAGGCUGUGAUGUGGCUACCUUUGAGGACAAAUUUCAGACUGAAGACCAGUCAACUGGGGACAGGUCAUCCAGUUUGGGACAAAGGAGGACUAGUUCAUGAACCUGAGCUGAGUAACAGAGACUCGAUCCUCCUGGACGUGUCAUCCUCAGACCGGUGGAGAGAUUCUUCCUGGAUGGUUCUUGUAUUGUUGCUCCAUCUUCUGCCUUAAAAUACUCCUAAUUAAUAACUAAUAAGUUUUUUGCUGAAAAAUUAGUUCACUGAACUUAGGUUGAAUAGUAAUUUCAACAUUGUUUAUGAAAGGCCUUUUUUGAAAUGUAAAAUUGAACUGAAAUGUUUACUGAAUUUGAGAAAAGAAAGACAGAUUUACAUUUGUCAGUUUAAAGAGUCACUUCUUCAUUUAAGGACUCUCUAAACUCUCAGUGUGUGUGUGUGUGUGUCUGUGUGUGUGUGUGUGUGAGUGUGUAUAACCUUCAGUUGCUCCACAGUGUUUUCAUUAUAAUGAGCAGAAACAACCUUCACAUGUGUUAAAGACACAGCAAAUUCACAUCAUAACUGUUUUCUUCAAACAACAAAAAGAAGAGUUUUAAUUCUAAGUCUGCUCCUGCUCUGUUUGUUUCUUUAAAAAUGAAUUUAAUGAGUUGAGUGAACUUUAUUUUGGUGUAAAUACAACACUGACAUAUACAGCAACCAUCUUAUAAGAAGUUAUGAUGAAGCUAACAGUCCCUUAUCUCCACCUCCAGCAGCUACAUGAUGAUUCACGUGGAGUGGUGUCUGUGUCCAGGGUUGCCUCUCUUUUAGCUCUGUGUUUGGUCUCCACCAGCUCCUGUGGCUCUUUAGCUGUUGAAUGCUCCACCAUGUUCACCAGCUGCUCUCUGACUGAGUCUGUCUGCUGUUCGCUGUGAAAGGUCUGUGGAAGCAAAACAAACUGAAAGAUGCUAAACCGCUCAGUAGAGCUGAGGACGGCUGUAGAAUGAGAUCAUCGGUGUGAGCAACACCUGUAAGUUAACACACAGUCAUUGGACCUGUUGUUGAGAUGAAAUAUUGAGUGCAGCUUUAAGCAGAGUGGUUGAAGGUUGAGGAGUGAAUAAAGAAGAGGCUCAGUUAUAGUAACAAGACUUUGUAUUUUGUUUUUCACCCACAGAUUGAACAUAUUCAAACUCACUGCACGACAUUUCUCUUCAUCACACAGAGGAUAUGAAGGUUGUCUUGUUCCCAGGUUCCUGUUUGCCUGUGGCAUUAGUGAGGGAGCAGUUUAAAGUCCACCCACACUCACUCCAACAGUAAACUGAUGUUUUUUUUUUUUUUUUUUUAAAUUCCCCCUUAAUCACAGAUCAAAUCUUUUGCAGCAUUCCUCUGUGUAUUUAGCAGCACCAGGGCUCAGUACUCUAACUGGUCUUUAUUUAUGCCUCAAAUCUGUUGUGCUGAAGAACUUCUACACUUCACACUGAUUCCUAAUCGUUUGUGAAAGUGCAACUUCAGAGGUGGCAAAGUGCUCCCACGUUGUCUUUAUGGCUCCUGACUCAGGAGCUCAUAUCACAGAAAUACACUUGUUUUCCAGUCAGCCGUCUUUCAGCAGCAGAACAAAGUUCACAGGUUCUUACAAUUACAAGUUUAUCUGACAGAACUUCAAUAAAUGAGGCUAACAAAGCUUCAGAGGACCUGUCAUAGAAAACAUCGACGCAGCCAACAGUCCUCCAGUCCAACUAAAUAAAAGCAUGGUUGUAUAAAUGUUGUUGAGUCACUAUGACGCACAAUAUUAAAACAGUGAAAGAGUAAAAUGUGUGAGGCAAAUUAAGAAAUAUAGCAGAAAACAGCUGAGUACAUAUUCUGUAGAAGCAGGAGUAUCAGUUUUGCUUACCUCUAUAAAUUUCAACACAUUGGGAAGCAGAACUUAGCAGGAAGUCUGUAUCUGUUUUCCAGACCACAAUUACAUAAGCUAGGUACUGUGGAAACCAGCAGGGAAACUUUUCUUCAUGUAAUCCAUCUCAUAUAAAAUGAGUCACACUGUCAUAAUGUUCAGCCUAAACAUAUUUAACUAAUUGGGUUUGACAAAAGAAGCUGGUUAACUGCCAACAAGUCCUCAAUCCAACACAACAAGUCAUUUAUCAGAGUAAAAUGAAUCAGUGUUGUGUUGCUGUCGCUGCAGAGAUGCCACUGUUGGUCCACUGCUUUGCUCCAGACUGGAAUAUCUCAACAACCAUCAAACAGUUGGUCAUAAAACCUUAUUCAGAUGAUCAUUAUAACCAGAGGAUGAAGCUUGAGACUUCCUGUAGCGCCACCAGCUGGUUGACACGUUACAUUCACAGUGAAAUCUCUUGACAACUAUAGAAUAAGACACGAUGAAGCUUGGUCCAGACGCUCAGGUCCUCCUUAUCUUCACCUGCUCACAAUAUCUUAACUGGAACAAACCUGAAUACAGAAUAUGCAUCCAUGGUCCCAAGACAACGUAUCCUAACGACCAGUGAUCCCAGCUUUUCAUCUACCACCACCGCUAACUAGCAGAUGGACUGGCACCUAGUCGAUGGACUUGUAUGUAGUAGAUGGACAGCUAACUAGUAGAUAAACUGUUUAUUAGUAGAUGGACUGGUUACCAGAAGAUGGACUGGUUACUAGUAGGUGGACUGGUAACAAGUAGAUUAACCAGGUACUGGCAGACGGAUUGGUAACUUGCAGAUGGACUGGUUACUAGAAGAUGUACUUUUUACUAGUAGAUGGACCAGUAACUAGAAGUUGGACCAGUUACUAGUAGAUGGAAUGUUUACUAGUAGAUGGACCGGUAACUAGUAGAUGGACUGUUUACUAGUUGAUGAACCGGUAACUAGCAGAUGGACUGGUUCCUAGAAGAUGGACUGGUUACUAGAAGGUGGACUGGUAGCUAGUAGAUUAACCAGUUACUGGCAGACGGAUUGGUAACUUGCAGAUGGACUGGUUACUAAAAGAUGGACUGUUAACUAGUAGAUGAACUGUUUGGACUGCUGGUUUGGACUGGUUACUAGUAAUGACUCUUCCUGUUCCACCAGCAUCAGAGUUUCACUUGGUCUUAACCAAAAUAAAACUGAACCUGUAGAACUCAUGACUUUCCCUUCAGCCUCAGUUUUCUUUGUGUGUGCUGUGUUUGAUUAAUCCUAAAUUUGAAUUGUGUAUGUAUGAUAUAAUAGAAGAACAUCAUGUGUAUCAGGUCCUCCAUCCUCUGUGUGAAUGCCCAGUUUUAAGGCCUGAGCUGAUGUUUGUAUUUGCUGACACUGACACAGUCGUCUUCUUCCAUCAUAGUUGAGAUAACAAGGCUACAAUUAUUUGUUGAUUGAUUGUUCAGUGUUUUAAAUGUCAGACAACAGUGAAAAUGUGUCAUUAUUCUGAUAAUUUCUUGUUUGCGUGACUAGCUGUCAAAAAUACAAAGAUGCUGACUUUGUUAUUAUUCAAAACUAUAGAAAACGAUGAUUAAAAUAUUCACACGAGGCUGAAAGAGGUCUGGAACGAGUUUUUGAAUAAACCACUAAACGAUUAAUCAUUUAUCAAACUUGUUGUCAAUUAAUCUUCUGUCAAUCAGUGCAGGUUGGUUUGUGGGUGCCUGGGGAGGUCAUGAAACUGCCAUAUACAAUGGAGGUCAGUAGGGAUCCAAGAGUUAGCAUGCUAAUGUUAGCAAUGACCUCAGAGCUCCUAGCAUUGCUUCGCUAACAGAAACAUGUUCAUGGUUGAGAUUAAGAAAAGAUUGUUGUCACCGUUAAAAGAAACGAGUGCUGACAGUCUUUAAUAUUUCACUCAUCACCUUUCAAAGUAACAGAACAGUGGUUUCUGCAGAAUUAUCUAAGACCCAGGCGCGUAGAGAGACACACUGAUUUAUAGAGAACAGCUGAUACUUCCUAGUGUGAGUGGCAGCUAACAGCUAGCACUUCCUCCAGCUGCCGUCCAUGCUGCUGGUCUCUGGGGGAAAACACAUAGGGCAGGUGUAUGAAAUAGUGAUAUGUUCCCAACCAGUUAGUUAGUUAGUUUAAAUCUUAGAAAUAUCUU
Long non-coding RNA from Seriola aureovittata, 4414 nucleotides. RefSeq lists it as uncharacterized. The record is from RefSeq and is a predicted model, not a curated record. The transcript has 4 exons. NCBI's taxonomy places the organism in Eukaryota, Metazoa, Chordata, Actinopteri, Carangiformes, Carangidae.